AAGAAGAUCUCUUCACCGUUUACUUCUCCUUAUUCAUCCUCUGUUUCUUCAGCUUCAGCUUCAGCUUCAUGCACUUCCGGUCUAAAUAAAUUCCCGGUUACAGAGAACCGGGGCUCCUUUCCGGUUUUCAAGAACUAAACCAAUUUUCAGAUGUAACUAUGUAUUUGUGUUUUGACCAGAAAAAAAAAAAACUAUCUAUUUGUGUAUAUAUUCAUGCAUAUGUUUGUGUAU
RNAcentral lists this small RNA (231 nucleotides) under Arabidopsis thaliana (thale cress). RNAcentral's name for it is "ATSL022170". Lineage: Eukaryota; Viridiplantae; Streptophyta; Magnoliopsida; Brassicales; Brassicaceae. The record is from RNAcentral.